This 497-nucleotide ribosomal RNA is filed under the name uncultured bacterium. RNAcentral's name for it is "partial 16S ribosomal RNA". It matches the Rfam family "Bacterial small subunit ribosomal RNA", at positions 28 to 507 of the family's 1533-position model. The record is from RNAcentral.
GAUGAACGCUGGCGGCGUGCCUAAUACAUGCAAGUCGAGCGAACAGACGAGGAGCUUGCUCCUCUGACGUUAGCGGCGGACGGGUGAGUAACACGUGGAUAACCUACCUAUAAGACUGGGAUAACUUCGGGAAACCGGAGCUAAUACCGGAUAAUAUAUUGAACCGCAUGGUUCAAUAGUGAAAGACGGUUUUGCUGUCACUUAUAGAUGGAUCCGCGCCGCAUUAGCUAGUUGGUAAGGUAACGGCUUACCAAGGCAACGAUGCGUAGCCGACCUGAGAGGGUGAUCGGCCACACUGGAACUGAGACACGGUCCAGACUCCUACGGGAGGCAGCAGUAGGGAAUCUUCCGCAAUGGGCGAAAGCCUGACGGGGCAACGCCACGUGAGUGAUGAAGGUCUUCGGAUCGUAAAACUCUGUUAUUAGGGAAGAACAAAUGUGUAAGUAACUAUGCACGUCUUGACGGUACCUAAUCAGAAAGCCACGGCUAACUACGUG